GACGAACGCUGGCGGCGUGCUUAACACAUGCAAGUCGAACGGAAAGGCCCUGCUUUUGUGGGUGCCUGAGUGGCGAACGGGGGAGUAACACGUGAGUAACCUGCCCCUGAACUUGGGAUAACCUUAGGAAACUGGGGCCAAUACCGGAUAAGAGCCCCCGCUGCAAGGUUGGGGUUGGGAAGUUUUCGCGGUUGGGGAUGGACUCGCGGCUUAUCAGCUUGUUGGUGGGGUAGUGGCUUACCAAGGGUUUGACGGGUAGCCGGCCUGAGAGGGUGACCGGCCACAUUGGGACUGAGAUACGGCCCAGACUCCUACGGGAGGCAGCAGUGGGGAAUAUUGCACAAUGGGCGGAAGCCUGAUGCAGCAACGCCGCGUGCGGGAUGACGGCCUUCGGGCUGUAAACCGCUUUCGCCUGUGACGAAGCGUGAGUGACGGUAAUGGGUAAAGAAGCACCGGCUAACUACGUG
This 467-nucleotide ribosomal RNA is filed under the name uncultured bacterium. Its description in RNAcentral is "partial 16S ribosomal RNA". It matches the Rfam family "Bacterial small subunit ribosomal RNA", at positions 28 to 507 of the family's 1533-position model. The record is from RNAcentral.